RNAcentral lists this transfer RNA (73 nucleotides) under Chloroflexota bacterium. RNAcentral describes it as "tRNA-Ile". It matches the Rfam family "tRNA". From Rfam's summary of the family: Transfer RNA (tRNA) molecules are approximately 80 nucleotides in length. Their secondary structure includes four short double-helical elements and three loops (D, anti-codon, and T loops). Further hydrogen bonds mediate the characteristic L-shaped molecular structure. tRNAs have two regions of fundamental functional importance: the anti-codon, which is responsible for specific mRNA codon recognition, and the 3' end, to which the tRNAs corresponding amino acid is attached (by aminoacyl-tRNA synthetases). tRNAs cope with the degeneracy of the genetic code in two manners: having more than one tRNA (with a specific anti-codon) for a particular amino acid; and 'wobble' base-pairing, i.e. permitting non-standard base-pairing at the 3rd anti-codon position. The record is from RNAcentral. Lineage: Bacteria; Bacillati; Chloroflexota.
GGGCGUGUAGCUCAGGGGUGAGAGCAACGGCCUUAUAAGCCGACGGUCGGUGGUUCGAUUCCAUCCACGCCUA